RNAcentral lists this small RNA (3227 nucleotides) under Pan troglodytes (chimpanzee). Its description in RNAcentral is "processed transcript". Lineage: Eukaryota; Metazoa; Chordata; Mammalia; Primates; Hominidae. The record is from RNAcentral.
UCCUACAAAGUUACGCAGAGGGGUGGAAAGAAGGGACCUGGGAAGAGAAGGUGGACGAGCGGCCGUGUAUUGAUCAGCUCCUGUACUCCCAGGAUAAGCACGAGUACUACAGAGGAUGGUUUUGGGGUUAUGAGGAGACCAGGGGUCUAAACGUCUCCUGUCUGUCCGUCCAGGGCUCAGCCUCCAUCGUGGCGCCCCUGCUGCUGAGGAACACAUCAGCCCGGUCCGUGAUGUUAGACAGAGCCGAGAACCUACUUCACGACCACUAUGGAGGGAAAGAAUACUGGGAUCUUUGAAAGGUGGGACUAUUCUCUGCAGCGGGUCUUUUCUGUUGGCGUUGAUUUCCGCAUUGAUGGGGUGACUUUCCAUAGCCACCCCUGGUUCUGUGAGUGAGUGGGAGCAGAGGGCGGGAAGCGGCUGCCCCCUCCCGUGGACACAGCAGGCCUGCUGACGUGUUCACCAGGGCAGCAGCUUGUAAAGCCGGAACCUGCCUGCAGGAGACACAGUCCCUGCUCACGUGGGACUUUGUGCAGGUCAGUCCCACCCCGUUUGGCAAAGCAGGAUGUGCUAACCGCCUAAGCUAGAAGUCGAGUUGGGGAGAGACUGAGGGGAAGGAGCUGCACACAGUUGUGCCAGCCAGGGGCAACGGCCAGCUGAGCCCAGUGUGUGCCUCAGCUUCCCACGGCAGGGGCUGGCAGAGCCGGCAGGGGUGGGCGGCUUGCCCUGCGUUGGCUUCAUGCAGGAGACCCUCCAAGAGCCUCCACCGUGGAUGGCGCUGCUUCUCAGGCGACCGUGGAUGGAGGACGUGUCUGAGGGGCUUGUUCCAGCUGCGGGGACCCGUCGCAGCAUGGUGUUUGCCAGGCACCUGCGGGAGGUGGGAGACGAGUUCAGGAGCAGACACCUCAACUCCACGGACGACGCAGACGGGAUCCCCUUCCAGGAGGACUGGACGAAGAUGAAGGUCAAGCUGGGCUCCGCGCUAGGGGGCCCCUACCUGGGAGUCCACCUGAGAAGAAAAGAUUUCAUCUGGGGUCACAGACAGGAUGUACCCAGUCUGGAAGGGGCCGUGAGGAAGAUCCGCAGCCUCAUGAAGACCCACCGGCUGGACAAGGUGUUUGUGGCCACAGAUGCCGUCAGAAAGGAAUAUGAAGAGCUAAAAAAGCUGUUACCCGAGAUGGUGAGGUUUGAACCCACGUGGGAGGAGCUGGAGCUCUACAAGGACGGAGGCGUUGCGAUUAUUGACCAGUGGAUCUGCGCACACGCCAGUUCAUGAAGUGCCGCUGGAGAGCCAGAGACCAGCUGCGCAGGAGCCGGAGGAACGGGCAGGCCGCUGACCUGAGGUCUGGAGAAACCCCUGGAGAAGGGUGUCCCCCCCAGCCCAUACAGCGUGUGUGUGGAGGGGGGCCUUGACCUCCGUGAUGUCUGCUGUGCCUCAGGAUAAGGAACCCCCAUGCCCUGGCUAGACAGUGUGUGGUUUUUUAUUGGCACCUCAGUCUCAACAUUUUCUUUUCGGAUUCAUGAGGAAAGAGAAAUCCUGGGGUUGGACCCCAAGACGACGUACAACAGGUUCUGCGGAGACCAAGAGAAGGCGUGUGAGCAACCCACCCACUGGAAGAUCACCUACUGAGGAGGAUCCUCCGGGGCCGCUCCCCGGACCCGACAGGCGCGGGUGGAUGCAGGUUCUGUCGCCGUGGAGUCACCGUCUGCCGCCAGCCGGGAGCUGGGCGGACAGGACCGUCCCUCGCAGGGUCCCGGGCCCAGAAGAGGCCCCACGCCUCUAGAGCUGUGCUCCGUCCUCGGCGUUGCCAGCCGCCAUGGCUGAUGAAGAGGCUCCGCUGCUCUCGGGGGCGGCGGUUGUUUCCAGGCAGCGUCUGUGAACCCACAGCUCGGUUGCCAGCAGUGCCCGCGUGGUGACCCAGAAGCAGGAGUGUUUGUCAGGCUCCCGCUCUGGUCUUUCCAGCCACCUUUCAUGUCUUCAUAUUUUAAGUUCAUUGAGGAUAGAUGCAGGCGGGUGAGCUGCCCUCCGUCAGGCGGACCCGGGCUGACAUUUCCCUGGGAGCUGGUGCAAGGAGAAGCGUCAUUUUAAAUGUCUGCAGAGCGACCAGGGGCCUCAUGAAUCCCUCCGUUGCCCUCCGCGCAGCAGGAGGCUGCCUGUGUGUUUCCUCCUGGGAUGCGUGCAAGGCAGACCUGGUGCUGCAAAGGAAGGGCCUGAGGCCUCAGGGAGCCCCGUGGAGGGAUGACAGUUCAGGCCCUACUGCUGGCACGUCAGAGCGCUGGGAAGUUUUUCAGUGAUGUCUCUGGGGCACUCAGUGGAUUGUCUGUAGGAAACUUGCAGCUCCGCUCCUCACACCAGGCCCGGCUGGCCACCCACCCUCGCCCCCACUGCCCCUCCCUCGCCCCGACUGCCCCGCCCUACCCUCACCCCGACUGCCCCGCCCUCGCCCCCACUGCCCCUCCCUCGCCCGGCUGGCCGUCCCUGCCCUCGCCCCGGCUGGCUGUCCCUGCCCUCACCCCGGCUGGCAGGUGCACAUGGGGCCUCCGGGUCUACCAUUCGCUAUUGAGAACUAGAAAUGAGGAAGGACAGUUACGCUAACUCCAAAAGGCUGUCUAGGAUGAGCUGCUUUAUCAGGGAGCUCCUCAUACCCAUUUUACAGAAAUCAUUUUUAGGUCUUUGUGCCACCACCACGAGGGGCAUCUGCAAAGAGGGCAACGCUAGACACAGAAUCCGUGGAAGGUGCAGCAGUGCCUCAGGGGUCCUCAGGGUCAGGGAGCCCCCCUCGCCCUCUUGGCCCGUUACCCUUUGUGACUUUCCACCAUGGUGUCGUGUGACCCUCAGUCAGGCUGGUGGGGGCUGAGUCCUCACUGAGCAGCCACUUUCCACAUCUGCUAGAGGAACAGUGACAUGGACACCUGUGUGACAGAGAGAGGACAGUUAGUGAGGAGGGACAGACAGCUCUUCCCUUCGGAGCCUGGCUAGUCUAGGACAUCACCUUGCUGUGUCUUCUCAAGCUUUUAAAAUUGACCCUGAACGUGUGACAGGGCCCUAUGGUGUUACUCAAAGCUGUGCAGGGUAAAUGAUGACAUAUUUAUUCUUUUUCCAUUUGUUCUAGAAACAGUGCCUUUUUCAUCAGUUGCAUUUUCCAGGCUGAGAGCUGUAUAAAACAUUUUGGACUGUGACCAUGUACCUUCCUUUUUAAGAAAAAUAAACUGCUUUAUGGUAGUUGGUA